Molecule: ribosomal RNA, 316 nt
Filed under: uncultured Methanomicrobiales archaeon
Lineage: Archaea; Methanobacteriati; Methanobacteriota; Methanomicrobia; Methanomicrobiales
Description: bacterial SSU rRNA
Rfam family: Archaeal small subunit ribosomal RNA
Source: RNAcentral
CCUGUUAAGUCAGGCAACGAGCGAGACCCACGCCAACAGUUGCCAGCUCGUCCUCCGGGGAUGGUGGGGACGACUGUUGGGACCGCCUCUGCUAAAGAGGAGGAAGGAAUGGGCAACGGUAGGUCAGCAUGCCCCGAAUUAUCUGGGCUACACGCGGGCUACAAUGGGUGGGACAAUGGGUAUCGACACCGAAAGGUGAAGGCAAUCUCCUAAACCCAUCCGUAGUUCGGAUUGUGGGCUGCAACUCGCCCACAUGAAGCUGGAAUCUGUAGUAAUCGUGUCUCAAAAUGGCACGGUGAAUAUGUCCCUGCUCCUU